RNAcentral lists this unclassified non-coding RNA (381 nucleotides) under Zea mays. Its description in RNAcentral is "misc RNA Zm00001eb438960". Lineage: Eukaryota; Viridiplantae; Streptophyta; Magnoliopsida; Poales; Poaceae. The record is from RNAcentral.
GUAUUUAUGGAAUCGUCCGGCCAGAAACGGGGAAGAGCCCAUGCUGUCGUAGAGGCCUCGUCGAGUGCUUCCGCUACGCCUAAUUCUGAGGAUGAUGAUAAGCGGAAAAAAGUGUCCCGCCAAGACGCCAAUGGCAAAGAGUCAGAGCCGCCCAUAAAUGGGGCGCAACCUGAAGUACCAUCCAUUGCGUUCUUAAAGAAAAGAAUUAAAACAGUUCUAAGGUCCUGUCGAGAUAGGAACCCUAGGGAGAGCACAUUACGCUCUACUUACGAGGAUCUUCACCUUGAAACGGCGAGCGCCGAGAAGCGGGUAAAAAUCGCCCAGGCCCUAGAAAAUCUGUACAGGCGAAGCCAAUAUUUCCGGAGUAACAAAAGGCAGCAG